This 360-nucleotide unclassified non-coding RNA is filed under the name Hevea brasiliensis (rubber tree). The record is from RNAcentral. Lineage: Eukaryota; Viridiplantae; Streptophyta; Magnoliopsida; Malpighiales; Euphorbiaceae.
GAAGCAAUGGCAUUUGGUCUUCCUGUGCUGGGAACAGAUGCUGGAGGCACAAAGGAGAUUGUUGAACAUAACGUAACAGGUCUUCUUCAUUCUUUGGGACGUCCAGGCACUCAAGUCCUCGCCCAAAAUCUCCAGUAUUUGCUGAACAAUCCCUCGGAAAGGCAACGAUUGGGAAGCAAUGGAAGAAAGAAAGUAAAGGAUAUGUACCUAAAGAAGCACAUGUACAGGAGAUUCGGAGAAGUACUAUACGACUGCAUGAGAAUAAAAUAAGAUCGAAUGCAGACCAUUUUUUUCUGUUUAAACAUUUUUCCUGUAUUGCUGUAAGCUCUUCCCUUAGAAAACACAGAUCAAGAAUCAGUC